CUCUUGCUCCACCUGAAUCCCUCACAUCUUACUUGAGACUGAUACAAACACUUGAUUGAGCGAACUUCUUGGCCUACGGCUGGACUCGAUCCAAUCAGCUCCCUCAGCUCUCUUUCCUGUUGAAACCCUUAAGAAAAACUCACCUUUUUUAUUAGUCUUUGGAUCUUGUGAAGUGG
Molecule: long non-coding RNA, 176 nt
Organism: Rosa chinensis
Lineage: Eukaryota; Viridiplantae; Streptophyta; Magnoliopsida; Rosales; Rosaceae
Exons: 3
Source: RefSeq, a predicted model, not a curated record